Molecule: ribosomal RNA, 253 nt
Filed under: uncultured bacterium
Lineage: Bacteria
Description: partial 16S ribosomal RNA
Rfam family: Bacterial small subunit ribosomal RNA
Source: RNAcentral
UACGGAGGGGGCUAGCGUUGUUCGGAAUUACUGGGCGUAAAGCGCGCGUAGGCGGCCCUGCAAGUCGGGGGUGAAAGCCCGAGGCUCAACCUCGGAACUGCCUUCGAUACUGCGGGUCUCGAGUCCGGGAGAGGUGAGUGGAAUUCCUAGUGUAGAGGUGAAAUUCGUAGAUAUUAGGAAGAACACCAGUGGCGAAGGCGGCUCACUGGCCCGGUACUGACGCUGAGGUGCGAAAGCGUGGGGAGCAAACAGG